This 424-nucleotide ribosomal RNA is filed under the name uncultured bacterium. Its description in RNAcentral is "bacterial SSU rRNA". It matches the Rfam family "Bacterial small subunit ribosomal RNA", at positions 359 to 775 of the family's 1533-position model. The record is from RNAcentral.
GAAUAUUGGACAAUGGGCGAAAGCCUGAUCCAGCCAUGCCGCGUGGGUGAAGAAGGCCUUCGGGUUGUAAAGCCCUUUUGUUGGGGAAGAAAUCCUGCUGGCUAAUACCCGGCGGGGAUGACGGUACCCAAAGAAUAAGCACCGGCUAACCCCGUUCCAGCCGCCGCGGUAAUACGAAGGGUGCAAGCGUUGCUAGGAAUUACUGGGCGUAAAGCGUGCGUAGGUGGUGGCUUAAGUCCGUUGUGAGAGCCCUGGGCUCAACCUGGGAAUUGCAGUGGAUACUGGGUCACUAGAGUGUGGUAGAGGGUGGCGGAAUUCCCGGUGUAGCAGUGAAAUGCGUAGAGAUCGGGAGGAACACCCGUGGCGAAGGCGGCCACCUGGGCCAACACUGACACUGAGGCACGAAAGCGUGGGGAGCAAACAG